UAGGGAAUCUUCGGCAAUGGGGGGAACCCUGACCGAGCAACGCCGCGUGAGUGAAGAAGGUUUUCGGAUCGUAAAGCUCUGUUGUUAAGGAAGAACGAGUGUGAGAAUGGAAAGUUCAUACUGUGACGGUACUUAACCAGAAAGGGACGGCUAACUACGUGCCAGCAGCCGCGGUAAUACGUAGGUCCCGAGCGUUGUCCGGAUUUAUUGGGCGUAAAGCGAGCGCAGGCGGUUAGAUAAGUCUGAAGUUAAAGGCAGUGGCUCAACCAUUGUAGGCUUUGGAAACUGUUUAACUUGAGUGCAGAAGGGGAGAGUGGAAUUCCAUGUGUAGCGGUGAAAUGCGUAGAUAUAGGGAGGAACACCGGGGGCGAAAGCGGCUCUCUGGUCUGUAACUGACGCUGAGGCUCGAAAGCGUGGGUAGCAAACAGG
This 429-nucleotide ribosomal RNA is filed under the name Bacteroidota bacterium. RNAcentral's name for it is "Bacteroidetes bacterium partial 16S ribosomal RNA". It matches the Rfam family "Bacterial small subunit ribosomal RNA", at positions 355 to 776 of the family's 1533-position model. The record is from RNAcentral. Lineage: Bacteria; Pseudomonadati; Bacteroidota.